Molecule: long non-coding RNA, 1227 nt
Filed under: Ananas comosus (pineapple)
Lineage: Eukaryota; Viridiplantae; Streptophyta; Magnoliopsida; Poales; Bromeliaceae
Description: long non-coding RNA (ACOM_LNC010140)
Source: RNAcentral
CCAAAACUGCCCAGUUCGGGCUUAUGCAAUUUUGGAUUUUUGAGGGACCUAGCUGGAUUUUGUUACAUUAGAUGGUCUAUAUGACCCAUCCACCCUCUCUUCUCCUCAUUUUCCCUCCUCACACUCUCCCUACAUCCUUGCUAGAGAGAGAAGAAGGAGAAGAAGAGGAAGGAGAAGAAGAGGAGAAGGAUCUAGCUUGGGCUUGGAGCAUCCCUUUGCCUUUCUUCCUCUUCCCACCUUGUUGGUGCUUGAAGGCUUGGACUUGGAGCUUGCAAAGGAGAAGAUCUUCACCCUUUGAGCUUGGAUUGGAGCUUCUUAGAGGUUGGUAGCCCUUUUUCUCCAUCUAGACCUUGGAUUUGAGGUUUUAUUGUUUUGGAACCCUAGAAUGAGGUUUUAGGGUUGAUUUUGGGGCUUUUUGAUCUAGGGCUUUUGAGGCUAGAUUGAUUAGAUUAGAACCUUCCUUGAGCUUGGAUUGGAAGGGUUCUAGCUCUCUUUUAGAGUUUUGGAAGAGAUUUCUUCUCUUGAGGUGAGUUGUAGCCCUUUUGUUAGGUUGUUAAAGUUUGACCUUAUAAAUUGAUCGUAAUGCCCGUGUAUCUCUUCGCUCAUUACUUCUAGGGUAUUUCGAGACUCGGGGACAACUUUGUUGGGCGAAACGAGGCACUACGCGACGGUUCGGUGGGUUUGACCUAGCCUACAUAUGAGAAAUUCUCAUAUAUGGUUAUAUAUGUUCCGUAAAUUGAAAAAGUAUGCAUGUUCAUACUAAAUGUAUUUAUUAUGAUUUUUAGAAUGCUUAAAAGGCCUAUGUUAUAUAUGAUGAAAUUUUGGACCUCUAUGUAAUAGAGAGUAGCUUGGUAGGCCCAUAGUUGCAUUUAGCAAUCUAUAUGAGACGUGGUUUCAUGCUCCUAUAGUGUAAAUGAGAUUUGAUUCAUGCAUUUAAACCUAAGUUUAUUGAGACAUGAAAGUUGACAAAAUUGCCAUUUAGAAGGUAUGCAAACUAGGGAGCCAAUGCCAUCAAGCGGCAUUGAGCUCGGGACAUGUGAGAACCUAGUGGAUAGGGCCAUUGAGAGAUUUAGGAUACAUGUUGAACAUCAAAUUGCCUAAGUGUCAUCAAGGGGCACUAGGCGUAGCAAAUGUUGAAACUUCACAUUGUGACUUAAACUAGAUCUUCGGGAUGCUAGUGACUAUACCAUGUUAGAGAUAUGAGGAUUGGAUACUCGAGACUUGGAC